UGGGGAAUUGUUCGCAAUGGGCGCAAGCCUGACGACGCAACGCCGCGUGGAGGAUGAAGGUCUUCGGAUUGUAAACUCCUGUUGCUCGGGACGAAAAGCUCCGACCUAACACGUCGGAGUCUGACGGUACCGAGUGAGGAAGCCCCGGCUAACUCUGUGCCAGCAGCCGCGGUAAUACAGAGGGGGCAAGCGUUGUUCGGAAUUACUGGGCGUAAAGGGCGCGUAGGCGGCCUGCUAAGUCGAACGUGAAAUCCCUGGGCUCAACCCAGGAACUGCGUCCGAUACUGGUUGGCUUGAAUCCGGGAGAGGGAUGUGGAAUUCCAGGUGUAGCGGUGAAAUGCGUAGAUAUCUGGAGGAACACCGGUGGCGAAGGCGACAUCCUGGACCGGUAUUGACGCUGAGGCGCGAAAGCCAGGGGAGCAAACGGG
This 428-nucleotide ribosomal RNA is filed under the name bacterium. RNAcentral describes it as "partial 16S ribosomal RNA". It matches the Rfam family "Bacterial small subunit ribosomal RNA", at positions 355 to 776 of the family's 1533-position model. The record is from RNAcentral.